GACUUGAUUAGAUUGAGCCUUGGUAUGGAAACCUGCUAAGUGGUAACUUCCAAAUUCAGAGAAACCCUGGAAUUAAAAAUGGGCAAUCCUGAGCCAAAUCUUUAUGUUAAGAAAACAAAGGAUAGGUGCAGAGACUCAAUGGAAGCUGUUCUAACAAAUGGAAUUGACGUUGACUACGUUGCGUUGGUAGCUGGAAUCCCUCUAUCGAAAUUACAGAAAGGAUGACCCUAUAUGCGUAUAUAUACAUACUGACAUAUCAAACGAUUAAUCACAACUCGAAUCUGGAAUCCAUAUUAUUAACUAUAACUAUAUAUUAUAGUUAUUAUUAUAUAUAUUUUGUUUCUAUUUUAAAAAAGAUAUAUUUUUUUAUAAAUUUAUAGAUUAAUUAAGAGUUAUUAUAAAUAUAUUCCAGUCGAAGUUGAAGGAAGAAUCGAAUAUUCAGUAUUCAGUGAUCAAAUCAUUCAUUCCGGAGUCGGAUAGAUCUUUUGAAAAAAUGAUUAAUCGGACGAGAAUAAAGAGAGAGUCCUGUUCUACGUGUCAAUACCGACAGCAAUGAAAUUUAUAGUAUUAGGAAAAUCCGUCGACUUUAGAAAUCGUGA
This 599-nucleotide non-coding RNA is filed under the name Colchicum bellum. Its description in RNAcentral is "Androcymbium bellum partial transfer RNA-Leu". The stretch from base 1 to 251 matches the Rfam family "Group I catalytic intron". The record is from RNAcentral. Lineage: Eukaryota; Viridiplantae; Streptophyta; Magnoliopsida; Liliales; Colchicaceae.